UUGCUUUUGGCAACACAUAUGCUAAACUUGGCAUGCCAUAGAGAAGAGAUGAGCAUAGCCCUGUGUAAGGAUGACAUGUAAAUUCAUGUAGUGUUCCUUAUUUAA
Small nuclear RNA from Mastomys coucha (southern multimammate mouse), 105 nucleotides. The record is from RefSeq and is a predicted model, not a curated record. Lineage: Eukaryota; Metazoa; Chordata; Mammalia; Rodentia; Muridae.